Eubacterium sp. CAG:156 is the source of this 156-nucleotide small RNA. It matches the Rfam family "Clostridiales-1 RNA". NCBI's taxonomy places the organism in Bacteria, Bacillati, Bacillota, Clostridia, Eubacteriales, Eubacteriaceae. The record is from Rfam.
UGAUAUAAGGAUACCGAAGCGGGAGUUUUUUUUGCUUGCACAAAAAAACUCACAUUUAUGGUAUCCAUAAAACAUGAGGAAGUAGCCCGAUAGGGCGAAAUCCGAAUGUUUUUAGGAUUGAGAAAGCACGAAGUGCGAAACAAUCCGUAAAUAUCA